Long non-coding RNA from Monomorium pharaonis (pharaoh ant), 1426 nucleotides. RefSeq lists it as uncharacterized. The transcript has 2 exons. The record is from RefSeq and is a predicted model, not a curated record. NCBI's taxonomy places the organism in Eukaryota, Metazoa, Arthropoda, Insecta, Hymenoptera, Formicidae.
UGAUUGCUCAGACUUUUAUUUUUUUGUUGUCUUCAAAGACAAUUUUUGCAAUAUUUGGAUUCAAAAUAUAAAGGGCAUAACGGAAUAAGCAGAUUUCAUCUGCUUACUCCGCUAUGCCCUUUACUAUUGUAACAACACAUAAAUAAUAUAUUAACGUAAGAGUAAAAAAUAAACAGAGGAUGUUACAAAUAUAACUAUUAAAAUUCCAAACAUACGAUUCAGCUUGUGUUGUAAUAGUAAACUAAAAUAAAUUAACAUUAAGAAACAAACACGUAAAUAAAAGGAAUAAAUAAAUAGAAAUAUAUUAACUUUGUUACACAAAUUUUUUCUGCUAAUUUUUCUGCUACAUUUUGAUAAAUUUUAGUAAAUAAAAGUUGUUAAUUGCAAAUCUGAAAUAAAAAUUUAAAAAAUUAAAAUAACGAAUUUAAUACGGCCACCAAAUUAAAAAAUUUAGUAGUUUAUUUACGUAUAAUACUUUCAAGAGAUUUUUAGGUUUCUCAUUUUUAAUUAGAUGUCAAAAUAAAAAAAUAAAAAAUGGUGGAUUUACAUAUUUUGGAAUUUAAUGCAAUUUCUAAGCCGAUUUUUGAUGCACACUUACUAUUCCCCCACAAACCUUUUUCAAUGUAUCGUAAAAGAAAGAUUUUUUAAUUAAGUAAUUUUAUUAACCCAUUAAGGGCUACCAAGAAUUUAGGAAAUUCUGGCAUUAAAAUAAACAUUUGAUUUAGGGCAUUAGGUCGAGUUACAAAAAAAUAUGCUGUGAUUUUUUGCCAGUUUUAAAUUUCAAGAUAGCGGACCAAUAUGACGGAUCGAAAAUUUAAAAUUAUGCACUUAUUACAUGAAAAAUUGUAUAUAAAUGUUUUUUGGGUUGCUGAUUAUAAGUCCGUUGCUAGAAUUUGCAUAAUUUAAAAAUUUCGAUUCGCUACAUUGAUCCGCUACCUUGAAAUUUGAAAUCGGCAAAAAAUCAUGGCGUAUUUUAUCAUAUAUCGACCUAACGCUCUGGGUAUCGAUCUAUAAGUUACUGUCUCUUUCUAUUCGACACCAAUAGAAAGAGAUAGUUACAUGAAAUUUUUCACUUUUCACGUUUCCGCCCUAAGGAAAAAGUUACAUGAUUGCUGUCCUGAAUGAGACGGUUAUUUUGAGUUCAAAAUUCCCAAAAUGUUACACGUGCGCUCGCGGAAAUGAAUGAGACACUCUCUCUUAUAAAACAAACGGUUUUAUUCUGAGACAAAAUACUCGUCCGCUCGAGCGCGAGACCGAGAUUCAACUUGUUAUUUAUUCGCGUUGUCAAACCAAUGACAGCUGACAACGUUCUUCCCGAAAAUUAAUAUAUCGAUCGGCCAGGAUAGCUGACCGAUCCAAGGGGCCUAACACUGUCCCUCUCCUUUGAAAGUUGUCGUCCCGACAACUACGCAUUGAAAAAAAAAAA